This 66-nucleotide transfer RNA is filed under the name Megascolecidae sp. BS2. RNAcentral describes it as "tRNA-Trp". The record is from RNAcentral. Lineage: Eukaryota; Metazoa; Annelida; Clitellata; Crassiclitellata; Megascolecidae. RNAcentral also lists the same sequence under 1 other name.
AAGACUUUAAGUUAAGCCAAACUAAAAACCUUCAAAGUUUUCAACAGAUAUAUUCUCUAAGUCUUG